AAUAGGAAGUAAAUACGGAAACGCUUGGAAAUACAGAAGUAAAUACAGAAGCGACGACACUGCUGGCUGGAGCAGUACACAAGCUCCAAGAUGCCAACAGGAGCUGGGGAUUGUGUCAUCCAGUAAAUCCCAAAGAAGUCUAUCUCGAUCUUCCAACCAUGGACCAUUGGUGGGAGCAUAUCUGGCUGACUGUAGCACCUCCUGUAUAUGGCUGCCUGGUAGUUUGCCCACUGCAGGGGUUUCCAUAAGGCAUCCCUGUUUGGUGGCAGGCUUCUGUCUGUGCACUUGCCACUUGUGAACAUUUGCAUAGUUGACAUCUCCACCGCCUUUGAGGUCAUAGAGGGCACAUGUAAAUGCUUCAGUUGCUUCAUAUAAUUCUCUUCUUGGUUGAAAAGAUGUUCCCAACUUCUUUAAAGUGACAGUGCUCUUUUUCAGACAGCAGUGUUUUCAUGGCCUUCACUUUAUUAACACCAUGGAAAGUACUCACUGUAUCACAGCCAGUGAAACAGUGGAGACCAGUCAGAGCAUCAGAGGCGUCAUCACCAAGAUGGCUAUGGAUUCUCUGGACAUGAAUGGUGCAGUUGUUUGCCCCCUCCCCAGUGUCAAGACUGUUGAUGAUAAUAUUCGAGCUAUAGUGUGAGGCAUGAGCACAGUGAAGGAACAGCUGAGUGUCUGCCUCCUCCUGUGUUGUGAACAGUGCUGGCAGUGGUAAGACCUCCAGCUCUGUGCCACUGUUGGCCAUUCGUAUUGUGUGACACUCAGACCCAUGUCCAACUAUCAGCGAAAUAUCUUCUAUUUGGUCUUUUCUGGACUUUGGCUAUGUUCAUGUUUGACCUGUUCUUAUUUACACUUUAACUUCAAUAUGGUUUUCAAUGCAAGACUUUCUUUUAUAGUGCAGUAUUUUCACUUAAAGGUUAUGAAUACUUUCCACCACUGUAUAGCAUUUGUAUGAUCAGAAAUUUUAACGUGCUGUCCAAAGUAAAAUCUAUGAUGUUGUACAAACCUUUAA
Long non-coding RNA from Sphaeramia orbicularis (orbiculate cardinalfish), 1009 nucleotides. RefSeq lists it as uncharacterized. The transcript has 2 exons. Lineage: Eukaryota; Metazoa; Chordata; Actinopteri; Kurtiformes; Apogonidae. The record is from RefSeq and is a predicted model, not a curated record.